Molecule: long non-coding RNA, 212 nt
Filed under: Trifolium pratense (red clover)
Lineage: Eukaryota; Viridiplantae; Streptophyta; Magnoliopsida; Fabales; Fabaceae
Description: long non-coding RNA (TPRA_LNC010975)
Source: RNAcentral
GGGUAAUCAGCUCAUUUAUUUCAUUGAUCAUAAGGCCUUUUAUAGGCAAAGUACACUAGCUUGCAGCUCAAGCCAACCAGUUGGCUAUGCAAGCCUGCAGGCAAGGCAAGGCAGGCCAGGCUUGGCACGCGCGCGCCCAUCUGCAGGCCAGCAGGCAUGGCUUGGCUCAGGCUGCAGCCAUUUCUUAAGGCACAAGCUAACCAGUCCUAACA